GGGCACAUAGCUCAGUUGGUUAGAGCUGCCGACUCAUAAUCGGCCGGUCGCAGGUUCGAGUCCUGCUGGGCCCACUA
RNAcentral lists this transfer RNA (77 nucleotides) under Actinomycetota bacterium. RNAcentral describes it as "Actinobacteria bacterium (hot springs metagenome) tRNA-Met". It matches the Rfam family "tRNA". From Rfam's summary of the family: Transfer RNA (tRNA) molecules are approximately 80 nucleotides in length. Their secondary structure includes four short double-helical elements and three loops (D, anti-codon, and T loops). Lineage: Bacteria; Bacillati; Actinomycetota. The record is from RNAcentral.